GAAAUUUGGAGUUACCGAUGACUUGAGAGAAUUCGUUAAGGGGAUUACCAUUAAUACGUUUCAGGAUUUUCCACUUGAAGAUGAUUCAGUGAUCUCUGAUAUUCCUACAGUCUCAAAUGUUCGGCAGGAUCUUACAGAAUUUCAGGAAAAACACGCAAAGUUUGUUCUUUCAUCUGUCAAGGAAAUUUCAAAGCUAAGAUAUGAGUUAUGCCCACGGAUAAUGAAGGAAAGGAAGUUCUGGAGAAUCUACUUUAUUUUAGUUAACAGUCAUGUGGCCCCGUAUGAAAAGAAAUACACGGAAGAGGCCAAGGCCGAAAUAAUAUCUGUUGAAAAGGCUCAAGUUGAGAGUGAAAAGGAGGUUUCUUUAGCUGGAACAAUUUGUAAACCAGUGACUGAGGCAACUACCCAGAAAAAUAAGAAGGCAACCUCAUCAACAUCAGACCAGGAUUUGGAUGUUUUUCUCCUUGGAGAAGACAGUGAUGAUGGACCAGAUGAUGGGGAUGAUGCCUUUGAUGAUGAUUUUGACAAGAUAUAGAUUGGAAGCUCUCAACAUUGAAAGUCUGCAUAGCAAUGGCUGCCUUGCGCUCAGGAAGCUUGGGGAUGAAGUCCUUCUGGAUGAGUUAUAUUCCUAUGGAGUAGCAUGAUGAAGCCAGCUACAUCAAUUAGUCAAUGCUCACCAUAUUCCACUCCCUCUAUUCUUCCACAGUGGGUUGUUGCAUUUUAUUGUUAUUUAUUCUGUGAUGUAUUCUUUACGUACUGGAAAUACAGAAAAAAGGUGGAAAAUGGAGGUCAAAUAGUAUAUGAUGGUAUUUGGAGCUGUAAAUUAGAGUUGUUUU
RNAcentral lists this unclassified non-coding RNA (836 nucleotides) under Hevea brasiliensis (rubber tree). Lineage: Eukaryota; Viridiplantae; Streptophyta; Magnoliopsida; Malpighiales; Euphorbiaceae. The record is from RNAcentral.